GGGUUGUGAGGUUAAGCGACUAAGCGUACACGGUGGAUGCCCUGGCAGUCAGAGGCGAUGAAGGACGUGCUAAUCUGCGAUAAGCGUCGGUAAGGUGAUAUGAACCGUUAUAACCGGCGAUUUCCGAAUGGGGAAACCCAGUGUGUUUCGACACACUAUCAUUAACUGAAUCCAUAGGUUAAUGAGGCGAACCGGGGGAACUGAAACAUCUAAGUACCCCGAGGAAAAGAAAUCAACCGAGAUUCCCCCAGUAGCGGCGAGCGAACGGGGAGCAGCCCAGAGCCUGAAUCAGUGUGUGUGUUAGUGGAAGCGUCUGGAAAGGCGCGCGAUACAGGGUGACAGCCCCGUACACAAAAAUGCACAUGCUGUGAGCUCGAUGAGUAGGGCGGGACACGUGGUAUCCUGUCUGAAUAUGGGGGGACCAUCCUCCAAGGCUAAAUACUCCUGACUGACCGAUAGUGAACCAGUACCGUGAGGGAAAGGCGAAAAGAACCCCGGCGAGGGGAGUGAAAAAGAACCUGAAACCGUGUACGUACAAGCAGUGGGAGCACAGAGCAAUCUGUGUGACUGCGUACCUUUUGUAUAAUGGGUCAGCGACUUAUAUUCUGUAGCAAGGUUAACCGAAUAGGGGAGCCGAAGGGAAACCGAGUCUUAACUGGGCGUUAAGUUGCAGGGUAUAGACCCGAAACCCGGUGAUCUAGCCAUGGGCAGGUUGAAGGUUGGGUAACACUAACUGGAGGACCGAACCGACUAAUGUUGAAAAAUUAGCGGAUGACUUGUGGCUGGGGGUGAAAGGCCAAUCAAACCGGGAGAUAGCUGGUUCUCCCCGAAAGCUAUUUAGGUAGCGCCUCGUGAAUUCAUCUCCGGGGGUAGAGCACUGUUUCGGCAAGGGGGUCAUCCCGACUUACCAACCCGAUGCAAACUGCGAAUACCGGAGAAUGUUAUCACGGGAGACACACGGCGGGUGCUAACGUCCGUCGUGAAGAGGGAAACAACCCAGACCGCCAGCUAAGGUCCCAAAGUCAUGGUUAAGUGGGAAACGAUGUGGGAAGGCCCAGACAGCCAGGAUGUUGGCUUAGAAGCAGCCAUCAUUUAAAGAAAGCGUAAUAGCUCACUGGUCGAGUCGGCCUGCGCGGAAGAUGUAACGGGGCUAAACCAUGCACCGAAGCUGCGGCAGCGACGCUUAUGCGUUGUUGGGUAGGGGAGCGUUCUGUAAGCCUGCGAAGGUGUGCUGUGAGGCAUGCUGGAGGUAUCAGAAGUGCGAAUGCUGACAUAAGUAACGAUAAAGCGGGUGAAAAGCCCGCUCGCCGGAAGACCAAGGGUUCCUGUCCAACGUUAAUCGGGGCAGGGUGAGUCGACCCCUAAGGCGAGGCCGAAAGGCGUAGUCGAUGGGAAACAGGUUAAUAUUCCUGUACUUGGUGUUACUGCGAAGGGGGGACGGAGAAGGCUAUGUUGGCCGGGCGACGGUUGUCCCGGUUUAAGCGUGUAGGCUGGUUUUCCAGGCAAAUCCGGAAAAUCAAGGCUGAGGCGUGAUGACGAGGCACUACGGUGCUGAAGCAACAAAUGCCCUGCUUCCAGGAAAAGCCUCUAAGCAUCAGGUAACAUCAAAUCGUACCCCAAACCGACACAGGUGGUCAGGUAGAGAAUACCAAGGCGCUUGAGAGAACUCGGGUGAAGGAACUAGGCAAAAUGGUGCCGUAACUUCGGGAGAAGGCACGCUGAUAUGUAGGUGAAGUCCCUCGCGGAUGGAGCUGAAAUCAGUCGAAGAUACCAGCUGGCUGCAACUGUUUAUUAAAAACACAGCACUGUGCAAACACGAAAGUGGACGUAUACGGUGUGACGCCUGCCCGGUGCCGGAAGGUUAAUUGAUGGGGUUAGCGGUAACGCGAAGCUCUUGAUCGAAGCCCCGGUAAACGGCGGCCGUAACUAUAACGGUCCUAAGGUAGCGAAAUUCCUUGUCGGGUAAGUUCCGACCUGCACGAAUGGCGUAAUGAUGGCCAGGCUGUCUCCACCCGAGACUCAGUGAAAUUGAACUCGCUGUGAAGAUGCAGUGUACCCGCGGCAAGACGGAAAGACCCCGUGAACCUUUACUAUAGCUUGACACUGAACAUUGAGCCUUGAUGUGUAGGAUAGGUGGGAGGCUUUGAAGUGUGGACGCCAGUCUGCAUGGAGCCGGCCUUGAAAUACCACCCUUUAAUGUUUGAUGUUCUAACGUUGGCCCCUGAUCGGGGUUGCGGACAGUGUCUGGUGGGUAGUUUGACUGGGGCGGUCUCCUCCUAAAGAGUAACGGAGGAGCACGAAGGUUGGCUAAUCCUGGUCGGACAUCAGGAGGUUAGUGCAAUGGCAUAAGCCAGCUUGACUGCGAGCGUGACGGCGCGAGCAGGUGCGAAAGCAGGUCAUAGUGAUCCGGUGGUUCUGAAUGGAAGGGCCAUCGCUCAACGGAUAAAAGGUACUCCGGGGAUAACAGGCUGAUACCGCCCAAGAGUUCAUAUCGACGGCGGUGUUUGGCACCUCGAUGUCGGCUCAUCACAUCCUGGGGCUGAAGUAGGUCCCAAGGGUAUGGCUGUUCGCCAUUUAAAGUGGUACGCGAGCUGGGUUUAGAACGUCGUGAGACAGUUCGGUCCCUAUCUGCCGUGGGCGCUGGAGAACUGAGGGGGGCUGCUCCUAGUACGAGAGGACCGGAGUGGACGCAUCACUGGUGUUCGGGUUGUCAUGCCAAUGGCACUGCCCGGUAGCUAAAUGCGGAAGAGAUAAGUGCUGAAAGCAUCUAAGCACGAAACUUGCCCCGAGAUGAGUUCUCCCUGACUCCUUGAGAGUCCUGAAGGAACGUUGAAGACGACGACGUUGAUAGGCCGGGUGUGUAAGCGCAGCGAUGCGUUGAGCUAACCGGUACUAAUGAACCGUGAGGCUUAACCUUACAACGCCGAAGCUGUU
This 2934-nucleotide ribosomal RNA is filed under the name Escherichia coli. Its description in RNAcentral is "23S ribosomal RNA". It matches the Rfam family "Bacterial large subunit ribosomal RNA". The record is from RNAcentral. Lineage: Bacteria; Pseudomonadati; Pseudomonadota; Gammaproteobacteria; Enterobacterales; Enterobacteriaceae.